Molecule: ribosomal RNA, 597 nt
Filed under: uncultured bacterium
Lineage: Bacteria
Description: bacterial SSU rRNA
Rfam family: Bacterial small subunit ribosomal RNA
Source: RNAcentral
GACGUAGGGGGCUAGCGUUGCCCGGAUUCACUGGGCGUAAAGCGCGCGUAGGCGGUUCGGCAAGUCGCCCGUGAAAGCCCCUGGCUCAACUGGGGGAGGUCGGGCGAUACUGCCGGGCUAGAGGGCGGCAGAGGGAGGUGGAACGGCCGGAGUAGCGGUGAAAUGCGUAGAUACCGGCCGGAAUCCCGAUGGCGAAGGCAACCUCCUGGGCCGUUCCUGACGCUGAGGCGCGAAAGCUGGGGGAGCGAACCGGAUUAGAUACCCGGGUAGUCCCAGCCCUAAACGAUGCGGGCUAGGUGUCGGCCCGUUAUUGGGUCGGUGCCGCAGCUAACGCGUUAAGCCCGCCGCCUGGGGAGUACGGUCGCAAGGCUGAAACUCAAGGGAAUUGACGGGGGCCCGCACAAGCGGCGGAGCAUGUGGUUUAAUUCGAUGCUAAGCGAAGAACCUUACCCGGGCUUGACAUGCGGGUGGUACCGACCCGAAAGGGAAGGGACCCAGGGCCUUCGGGCGCCUGGGAGCCCGCACAGGUGCUGCAUGGCUGUCGUCAGCUCGUGUCGUGGGACGUCGGGUUAAGUCCCAGAACGAGCGCAACCCCUG